CCUGCUCAGUAUCUUGUGUUUUCACCGACUCGUCAGUCCCAGCAGUCUCCUGUGCAGGGUGUCUAGUCUCUGCGUGAACCCAGGUGAAAAGGAGCUGUUUCUUUCGGUGCCUGUGUGGUUAGGAGACCGUCUGGGCUUCCAGGCGUCUGAAGGACGAACCAUUCCAGGGUGAUUUCAGAGCGUCCCGACCCUAAAACGGGCCCAAACACCACAGACGCUCAGGAAACACAAGCUGGCCUUUAUUGUGUUGUUAUGUUCAGUUUAGUCUGUGGCGUCUUUGUGUUGUCUCUGAAAUCGAGUUGGAAAAAAAAACCCAAAAGCCUUUUUGCGAGUUCAACAUGUGCUACAGCCUCGCGAGGAUCAAAAGAUAUUGAAAUAGCUGUAAACACCCAGAACUAGACAAACAGCACUAAAAGACUUCAUCCCAAAUUACCCAUUCAGUCGGACUGCGUGUUAUCGAUAACGUAUGAGCUAUUUUGUGCAGAAAACACAGAUUGGAGGUAGUAAAUGUAAUUUCCCAGCGUGCACUGUGUCGGAAUAGAAAUGUUGCGCUAACGUCUAAAAUGUCAGUUUGACUGUCAUCCAUUCAGCGGCGCCUGCUGAGUGGCGAACACCUGCAGCGCCAGCGGAGACGCAUGAAAGCUGGUGAGCGAUACAAAUUCAAAUGGGAGACGCAACAGUGGCGCACGCCGCGUUUGUAUGCAGAGCUAUUUGUGGAAGGCAGAUAAGCAGCAACAUGAAUGCAGGAGAUGUUUGUGAAGAUGGGGAGGGAGCGGUAAUUAUGAUGCAGAGACUCGCACACACACACACACACACACACACACACACACACACACACACACACACACACACGGCCGGUCGGUCUCCGACGCUGAAUUGGACGGCUGCAGAUGUGAAGAGCCUCCGCAGGUCGGCUAUCUGAGAAAAGCUUCCUCGUUCCGUUUGGAGCCGCGAUUUGAAGCUCGCUGGGGCUUUAAUGAGUCAGACACAAGAGAGAGGACAGUAAAAGCUGCUGAGUCAUCGUGAAGACGAAGUGAUGAGUCUAGAGUUAAAGCAAACAGCUUCGUCCUUGUGACCCGAGACUGGCUCCGGUCCUGGAAAGAGUCCGGCUGUGGAGACGCCUCCAGGACGCUCGGCGUCGCUGCCUGGACUCAGCGCUGGAAGCGGGAGAAUGAGCGCAUCCUGCCGUUCACAGAAAUUUGCCUUUUGAUCACAACCAUCCGAGACUCAAUAAGACAGUGACAGUGUCCGUUUCCUGUUUGUUUGCCUUAAAGCUUUUCCAGCAUAAACCAGGAUUUUCUCCUGAAGCCCAACCUUUUUUAGGACAUAUCUACAGUGAAACAAUCAAACUGGGGGCAAAGGGGAAAGUUCCACUGUUCCACACCGACGCUCACAGAGGCUCUGGGGAGAUCUGGCUCGAACAAAGGAUCAGGUUCCCCUGAUCCAUGAAGAGUGAUCCACCUCAAACAAACGCAGGGAGCUGUUUAAACGGCUAAAUGACAGCGCUACAUACUGUCUGUGCUGCACAGGGAGCUCAGCAUUAGGUGGAAAUCUUCACAGACACCUUCCAUGGCUGUUCUGUUACUCACUGAGUGCAAAUUAAAAUGCUUGUCAUUCGCGG
Long non-coding RNA from Betta splendens (Siamese fighting fish), 1621 nucleotides. RefSeq lists it as uncharacterized. The record is from RefSeq and is a predicted model, not a curated record. Lineage: Eukaryota; Metazoa; Chordata; Actinopteri; Anabantiformes; Osphronemidae. The transcript has 2 exons.